Salvia splendens (bonfire salvia) is the source of this 1483-nucleotide long non-coding RNA. RefSeq lists it as uncharacterized. The record is from RefSeq and is a predicted model, not a curated record. The transcript has 6 exons. NCBI's taxonomy places the organism in Eukaryota, Viridiplantae, Streptophyta, Magnoliopsida, Lamiales, Lamiaceae.
AUUUUUGGAGGCGACCAACAUCUCAGAACAGGUUUGGUUUGAUUUUUCACUCACAUUGCUAGUUAAUUCACAUGUAUAUUUUCUUUUCUAUGCUCGAUUAAUCAAAUGGUAACAUUUGUUAUUUUUUUCAAUUUUUGUGAGUGAAUAAUGGAAAGAGGCAUCAUCACCAUGGCUGGUUGGUUAAGUUUAUUUAUUUGGUCAGUUCUUGUGAUGAAUGCUCAAGUUGAUGGAGAUCAAUUAAUAGACAUUACUUUUCUAAAGAGUGCUAUUCCAAAAGGGGCAGGUUGGUUACAUUCUUAUUUUAACUAUUUAUCAAAGCUAACAAUUAGUUACUUUUCACCUCAGCAAAUAAUCACUAUUUCCAUGCAACAGUUUGCUUAGAUGGCAGUCCACCUGCUUACUCCUAUUUUGAGGGAUAUGGAAAUGCCUCAAAUAGUUGGAUUGUUUAUUUGUAGGUAAAAACAUAAUGCAUAAAAAGUGUUUAUAAUAUGCAACUAAUUGAUGAUGAUCGAUAUGUCAUUUGUGAAUAUUUUCAUAAGCAUAACUGACAUUUAGCCUAUGUUAGUAUUGGAAUCAUCAAAAUAUUAGAAUGUAGACAAAGAAAAAGAUUAGAGUAAAUUUGAUGAUCUUUUGAUAAUUUAUCAAAUACUCCAUUAGUAUAAAACAAAGAAAAUUCUAAUAUAGAGUAAUUUUUAUUUAAAUAUUCACAAAGAAAUAAAAGUCAAUGUUAUAGAGUUAUAGUAAUGCAAUUUUGUUUUUGUUUUUGUUUUUGUUUUUGUUUUUGUUUUUGUUUUUGUUUUUGUUUUUGUUUGUUUUUGGAUAUUAGUCUGGUGGAUGGUGUAGUUCGAAAAUAGAGUGUUACAAUAGAUCAACUACACCGCGAGGGAGUACUUACCCAUUUAUUGGUAAUCAAACCAACUUCUGAGGGUUACUAGAUACAAAUUCCACUUUUAAUCCAGAUUUCUACAAUUGGCAUAAAGUUUACAUUUACUAUUGUGAUGGCUCAUCAUUUAUGUCAGAUAUCAAACAUGUCGAUCCAAGGACCAAAGUCACUUACCGGGGUGCAAGGAUUUUUAAAGUCGUGAUGGAAGAAUUGCUCUCUAAAGGAAUGGGAAAUGCUAAAAAUGCUAUGUUAGUAGGUACCUCAGCCGGUGCGAUGACAACCACCUUGCAUUGUGAUAAGUUUUAAAAACUUUUUCAAAAUAACAGUCGAGUGAAGUGUAUUUAAGAUUCUGGUUUCAUCAUUCACGGAAAGGGCCUCCUUGGAGAUCACUAUAGAGAGAAAUAUUACGCCGAUAUAAUUAGAAAACAUACAAUUUGAUCGGAGUUCUUUUCGGCAAAUAGAUAUUGAGAAUGACUUCCCGCGGCACCUCACUCACUCCGGACCUCUUUCUCCAUAAAUGUCUUGCCAGCCACUCUGUCUAAUCAUCAUCCAACUUGUAGUUAUUCAUGAAUCAAAAUUUUUUUAUGCACUUAUUACAAG